This 468-nucleotide ribosomal RNA is filed under the name uncultured bacterium. RNAcentral describes it as "partial 16S ribosomal RNA". It matches the Rfam family "Bacterial small subunit ribosomal RNA", at positions 28 to 507 of the family's 1533-position model. The record is from RNAcentral.
GACGAACGCUGGCGGCGUGCUUAACACAUGCAAGUCGAACGGAAAGGCCCUGCUUUUGUGGGGUGCUCGAGUGGCGAACGGGUGAGUAACACGUGAGUAACCUGCCCUUGACUUUGUGAUAACUUCAGGAAACUGUGGCUAAUACCGGCUAGGAGCUCCUGCUGCCUGGUGGGGGUUGGAAAGUUUCGGCGGUUGGGGAUGGACUCGCGGCUUAUCAGCUUGUUGGUGGGGUAGUGGCUUACCAAGGCUUUGACGGGUAGCCGGCCUGAGAGGGUGACCGGCCACAUUGGGACUGAGAUACGGCCCAGACUCCUACGGGAGGCAGAAGUGGGGAAUAUUGCACAAUGGGCGGAAGCCUGAUGCAGCAACGCCGCGUGCGGGAUGACGGCCUUCGGGGUGUAAACCGCUUUCGCCUGUGACGAAGCGUGAGUGACGGUAAUGGAUAAAGAAGCACCGGCUAACUACGUG